GGGUGGGAAGUAUUCAUAAGCACAUCCAACAUACAGGUGCACGCCGCCACCCAUGAGCGCCUCGCUCCACGUCCUCUUAAUCGGUACGGACGCCUUUCACGUGGAGGGCGCGCUGCAGGGCACGGCGCUGCACAUGCACCGCGCCUGGAACGCGUCGUACCGGUUUUCCUGCACCUCGGCGCUGAGCGUGGACCAAGCGGACAAGCGGCUUCUGCUGGUGUGCCACAUUAUCGUGCUGUGCAGGGGAUGCCGAUCGCCGGCGAGCAAGUCGAGUUACAGUGAUCGAGCGGUUCUGGCGCUGCCGGAUGCGACGGCCAGCUGUGUGGAGGAGUUGAGGGACAGUUCUUUCUUCUAUGGCACGUGCACCCUGGAGGAGCUCAAGGCGAAGGUGCUGACGAUCGGCCUCGCCCCGCCGCAUGUCAUCUUCGAUGCCGUGCAUGGUUGCUUCACGCCGGUUGGCAAGGCCGCGUUCGAGCGUGCUUUUUGGCUCUUCGACCGCGACGCGGACGGACUGCUGCGGCUGCCGGAGCUUGUUGGGUGGCGCAAGCAGGUGGAGCCAGCCGCCUACAGCGCGGAGGAGGACGUAGGUCUCUUCUUGUCCGAGUGGGGCGGCGCCGUCGCGGCGGAGAAGCUGGCGGAUCAGGCUCAGUUUCUGGCCCUCCACAUGGAGUGGCUGCAGAAGGGCUACACGCUCGAGGCGUGGGCCACGCUGCACGCCACUGGCAUCCACCCCGACGGGCUGCCUUACUCGUGGUACGACCUGCACUCUAUCCGUGUGGAUCGGGGAACAAACACGUACCUGUCCUCCCACGCAAUCCAGUUCUUCACCAAUGUUUAUAAGCUGAAGCGGUUUGCCGACACGGCGGACAUAUGGUGCAUCACGCCGGGUUGUCCGUGGGACUCUGUGGAGGGGUUCCUAAAGGCGCAUAUGCCAAUGACCAAGUUCGUGGAGUACUGGAAGUACAUGGCACUGGUGCGGCGCGACGAGGUGAUUCGCUACGCACGGUACUGGGGAUACAAGGGUGAGAUUAGCUACCUCUUCACGCGCCGUGCUGCCCGUGCAUACCGGCUCCCUGGCGAAACCGUACCGAACACGAUUCACGUACUUGUGGCCGGGUCGGAAAACUGCGGUCGGCGGAGUCUCAUGAAUGCCUUGACAAACAGCGGCUCGGAGGGCUUUCAAAACUCGGAGCAUACAACGGGCACGUAUGUACGCACCACCACCUUCUUUGCCACGAAAGGCCGCGAGCAGGUGGAGGAAGCGCAGACGCUAGUGUACUCGACGGCGUCGGCCGAGGCAUGCGCGCAGCUGCUGUCCGACUUGGAGUUGUCCAAGACCAUAGAUGUUGUUCUACUGUGCUACGACGGCACCGACAUUGAUGACAGCGGGGCGUACGCGAUGUCGCUAUUUGAGCAGGUCAGCGCCAGCGACGCAUGCGAGCGGCUGCCGUUCGUCGUGGUCAUGACGAAGGCGGAUGCUGCGCAGCCCGUGGCCGGCGACAAAGAGACAAAGGCGGGGCAGCGUCUAAAAGAUUUCUGUCUUGCCCAUCAGUUGCUGUGGCCGCCGGUCAUUACCAGCAGCGAGCAGCCAGAUCAGAGCGAGGCCGCGUCACUGAACGAGUACAUGUACGCCGUAGCCUCGGACCCGGCGCUGGCGGUCGGCCAGCCUCCCCUCACGUACGUGCGCAUUCUUCGCCGAGCGACGUUUGUCGCCAUCAUCGCCGUCGCGGCUGCUCGGAUUGGACAGACCCUCGUGAACGUGCUGCGGCGACAGCGGCGUUAGCCUUCUUCGAGUGUAGGAGGAUAGACGGAAACAGUGCCGCGCCGCGCCGACCCCCCCCCCCCCCCUCCCCCCGAUAGGCGAAAGUGCACACGUGAGUGGUGUGUCUCCGAAUGCUGCGUGGCGAACAUUUAUGUUGGAUCAAAAAAACAAUCGACGCUGGUGCUGUUUUUUUUUUUUGGUGCGAUAGCGUCGCUUGCAGCUGCCACGUUAAGUGCCAUCGCGCUUCUCUUGUUCGCCGUCCUCUUCUCAUCUCUGUGUGGAUUAUUAGACGCGUGGCCUUGCUUGAACGCGAUGACGCAC
Molecule: unclassified non-coding RNA, 2083 nt
Filed under: Leishmania donovani
Lineage: Eukaryota; Euglenozoa; Kinetoplastea; Trypanosomatida; Trypanosomatidae
Description: gene:LdHU3.07.1550(CDS-product:hypothetical_prote in_conserved)
Source: RNAcentral